GCCUGUGUGUUUAUAAAUCCUGUGUGUUUAUAAAGCUAUAUAAUAUAUAUAACUAUGCCUGUGUGUGAUGUCUACAGCUGACUCUGGUAUAGUCUGUGUUACAGGCAUAUUUAAGCUUCAACAUGUGGUUUGGUGUGUUUGUGAGUUAUACAGGUGGUGUGUGUGUGUGAGUUAUACAGGUGGUUUGGUGUGUUUGUGAGUUAUACAGGUGGUUUGGUGUGUUUGUGAGUUAUACAGGUGGUUUGGUGUGUUUGUGAGUUAUACAGGUGGUUUGGUGUGUGUGUGUGAGUUAUACAGGUGGUUUGGUGUGUGUGUGAGUUAUACAGGUGGUUUGGUGUGUGUGUGAGUUAUACAGGUGGUUUGGUGUGUGUGUGUGUGUGAGUUAUACAGGUGUUGUUUCAGGACCACUUUAGUAGAUUUUCUGUCCCUGUAUUGUACUCAUAAGGUGAAUGCACCAAUUUGUAAGUCGCUCUGGAUAAGAGCGUCUGCUAAAUGACUUAAAUGUAAAUGAGUUGUGAUGUAGUUUUCCCACUGCUUGGUGAAUUGUCUCUGUCUUUCUUCAUUUCCUGUCUCUCUCUUCUUCUCUUCUCUCUCGGGGU
This is a long non-coding RNA of Oncorhynchus nerka (sockeye salmon), 599 nucleotides long. RefSeq lists it as uncharacterized. NCBI's taxonomy places the organism in Eukaryota, Metazoa, Chordata, Actinopteri, Salmoniformes, Salmonidae. The transcript is spliced from 3 exons. The record is from RefSeq and is a predicted model, not a curated record.